RNAcentral lists this ribosomal RNA (250 nucleotides) under uncultured bacterium. Its description in RNAcentral is "partial 16S ribosomal RNA". It matches the Rfam family "Bacterial small subunit ribosomal RNA", at positions 335 to 577 of the family's 1533-position model. The record is from RNAcentral.
GUUCCUACGGGAGGCAGCAGUAGGGGAUCUUCCACAAUGGACGAAAGUCUGAUGGAGCAACGCCGCGUGAGUGAAGAAGGGUUUCGGCUCGUAAAGCUCUGUUGGUAGUGAAGAAAGAUAGAGGUAGUAACUGGCCUUUAUUUGACGGUAAUUACUUAGAAAGUCACGGCUAACUACGUGCCAGCAGCCGCGGUAAUACGUAGGUGGCAAGCGUUGUCCGGAUUUAUUGGGCGUAAGGCGAGUGCAGGCG